RNAcentral lists this ribosomal RNA (403 nucleotides) under uncultured bacterium. RNAcentral's name for it is "partial 16S ribosomal RNA". It matches the Rfam family "Bacterial small subunit ribosomal RNA", at positions 30 to 527 of the family's 1533-position model. The record is from RNAcentral.
AUUGAACGCUGGCGGCAGGCCUAACACAUGCAAGUCGAGCGAGCGGCGGACGGGUGAGUAAUGUAUGGGGACUGCCCGAUAGAGGGGGAUAACUACUGGAUACGGUAGCUAAUACCGCAUACUAUCGGAUAACCCAUAUGGGAUUAGCUAGUAGGUGAGGUAAUGGCUCACCUAGGCGACGUUCCCUAGCUGGUCUGAGAGGAUGCUCAGCCACACUGGGCAUGAGACACGGCCCAGAAUCGUACGGAGGCAGCAGUGGGGAAUAUUGCACAAGGGGCGCAAGCCUGAUGCAGCCAUGUGGCGUGUAUGAAGAAGGCCCUAGGGUUGUAAAGUACUUUCAGUCGGGAGGCGUUACCGACAGAAGAAGCACCGGCAAACUCCGUGCCAGCAGCCGCGGUAAUUG